GGGGCUAUAGCUCAGCUGGGAGAGCGCCUGCCUUGCACGCAGGAGGU
Molecule: transfer RNA, 47 nt
Filed under: Vibrio splendidus FF-500
Lineage: Bacteria; Pseudomonadati; Pseudomonadota; Gammaproteobacteria; Vibrionales; Vibrionaceae
Description: tRNA-Ala
Rfam family: tRNA
About the family: Transfer RNA (tRNA) molecules are approximately 80 nucleotides in length.
Source: RNAcentral